UCGGGAAUUUUGGGCAAUGGGCGAAAGCCUGACCCAGCAACGCCGCGUGAAGGAUGAAGCUUUUCGGAGUGUAAACUUCACAAGAAUGGGAAGAAUAAGUUUAGGAUAAUACCCUGAACGAUGACGGUACCAUUUGUAAGCUCCGGCUAACUCCGUGCCAGCAGCCGCGGUAAUACGGGGGGAGCAAGCGUUGUUCGGAUUUACUGGGCGUAAAGGGCGCGUAGGCGGCGCGACAAGUCACUUGUGAAAUCUCUGAGCUCAACUCAGAACGGUCAAGUGAUACUGUCGUGCUAGAGUGCGGAAGGGGCAACUGGAAUUCUUGGUGUAGCGGUGAAAUGCGUAGAUAUCAAGAGGAACACCUGCGGCGAAGGCGGGUUGCUGGGCCGACACUGACGCUGAGGCGCGAAAGCUAGGGGAGCGAACGGGAUUAGAUACCCCGGUAGUCCUAGCCUUAAACGAUGAAUGCUUGGUGUCCGGGGUUAGAUAGUCCCCGGGUGCCGUCGCUAACGCUUUAAGCAUUCCGCCU
RNAcentral lists this ribosomal RNA (526 nucleotides) under uncultured bacterium. RNAcentral describes it as "bacterial SSU rRNA". It matches the Rfam family "Bacterial small subunit ribosomal RNA", at positions 355 to 874 of the family's 1533-position model. The record is from RNAcentral.